Molecule: non-coding RNA, 113 nt
Organism: Notechis scutatus (mainland tiger snake)
Lineage: Eukaryota; Metazoa; Chordata; Lepidosauria; Squamata; Elapidae
Source: RefSeq, a predicted model, not a curated record
CUGAAGUACAUAAGCAAACUAAAUUGGAGCCUUCCCUGCAGUGCCCCCUAGUGGCACAAAUGCAUAUUUCUCUUGUUUAAGAACUGCCUUGAAAAGUACAGCGUUACUUGAAU